GCUCAAAUUUGAAAUCUGGCGUCUUCGACGUCCGAGUUGUAAUUUGAAGAAGGCGACUUUGUAGCUGGUCCUUGUCUAUGUUCCUUGGAACAGGACGUCAUAGAGGGUGAGAAUCCCGUGUGGCGAGGAUCCCAGUUAUUUGUAAAGUGCUUUCGACGAGUCGAGUUGUUUGGGAAUGCAGCUCUAAGUGGGUGGUAAAUUCCAUCUAAAGCUAAAUAUUGGCGAGAGACCGAUAGCGAACAAGUACAGUGAUGGAAAGAUGAAAAGAACUUUGAAAAGAGAGUGAAAAAGUACGUGAAAUUGUUGAAAGGGAAGGGCAUUUGAUCAGACAUGGCGUUUGCUUCGGCUUUCGCUGGGCCAGCAUCAGUUUUAGCGGUUGGAUAAAUCCUCGGGAAUGUGGCUCUGCUUCGGUAGAGUGUUAUAGCCCGUGGGAAUACAGCCAGCUGGGACUGAGGAUUGCGACUUUUGUCAAGGAUGCUGGCGUAAUGGUUAAAUGCCGCCCGUCUUGA
This 509-nucleotide ribosomal RNA is filed under the name Kluyveromyces marxianus. Its description in RNAcentral is "eukaryotic LSU rRNA". It matches the Rfam family "Eukaryotic large subunit ribosomal RNA", at positions 107 to 657 of the family's 3401-position model. Lineage: Eukaryota; Fungi; Ascomycota; Saccharomycetes; Saccharomycetales; Saccharomycetaceae. The record is from RNAcentral.